GGAGAGGUUAGGAUGAUGAAGGAAAGGCAGAGUAAAUGCAUCCCUCUGUUGUGUAGCUUGGAGGGUGCCCAAUGGACUCUCCCCAUCACCAGUGCUUGCAGGACACGCACUGCACAGACCCUGCCAUAUGCAGUGGUGCAGAGGACAAGGAUGGGGUGUGCAGAGCGCAGCUUCCCCCUCCGGGCACCAUGGAGCUGGUGCUGGCUUUGCCCUGACCCAGCUGGUGCAAUGGAGCAGUCCCAGCGCAGGGUUACCUGCUCCUGAUGUUGGGCACUGCCUUUGGCCUCGCCGCUGCCCUGGCUCGUGUGGAAUCUGCUCGCAGGACAGCGUUAUUCUUGGUGCAAUGUGAGCUGAGCUGGCUGGAACACUGAGCUGCUGCUCUCCGGAAGGAUGAUGGACUUUGCAGCUGAAGCUAUGAACAAGCCAACAGAUUUGUAACAUAGGGGCCAAGGUACGCAGGGAGCCUGCUCAGGAGCUGCUCCAAAGAUGAUUUUGAUCUUAUAUGUCUUCUAAUCAAAAAUACAGUCUUGAACAGAAA
Molecule: long non-coding RNA, 538 nt
Organism: Pezoporus occidentalis (night parrot)
Lineage: Eukaryota; Metazoa; Chordata; Aves; Psittaciformes; Psittacidae
Exons: 2
Source: RefSeq, a predicted model, not a curated record